UUCGCAAUGCCCGAAAGGGUGACGAAGCGACGCCGCGUGCGGGAAGAAGGCCUUCGGGUUGUAAACCGCUGUCGGGAGUUAAGAAAUGCAAGGAUAUUAAUAGUGUCUUUGCUUGACUAAGGCUCCGGAGGAAGCCACGGCUAACUCUGUGCCAGCAGCCGCGGUAAUACAGAGGCGGCAAGCGUUGUUCGGAAUUAUUGGGCGUAAAGAGCACGUAGGCGGCUAUGUAAGUCGGUUGUGAAAGCCUUCCGCUCAACGGGAGAACAGCAUCCGAUACUGCAUGGCUUGAGUGCGGGAGGGGAGAGUGGAACUUCUGGUGGAGCGGUGAAAUGCGUAGAUAUCAGAAGGAACGCCGGCGGCGAAAGCGGCUCUCUGGCCCGUAACUGACGCUGAGUGUGCGAAAGCUAGGGGAGCAAACGGGAUUAGAUACCCCGGUAGUCCUAGCCGUAAACGAUGGGCACUAAGUAGAGGGGUUU
Molecule: ribosomal RNA, 476 nt
Filed under: uncultured Planctomycetales bacterium
Lineage: Bacteria; Pseudomonadati; Planctomycetota; Planctomycetia; Planctomycetales
Description: bacterial SSU rRNA
Rfam family: Bacterial small subunit ribosomal RNA
Source: RNAcentral